This 621-nucleotide ribosomal RNA is filed under the name uncultured bacterium. RNAcentral describes it as "bacterial SSU rRNA". It matches the Rfam family "Bacterial small subunit ribosomal RNA", at positions 338 to 951 of the family's 1533-position model. The record is from RNAcentral.
CCUACGGGAGGCAGCAGUGGGGAAUUUUGGACAAUGGGCGCAGGCCUGAUCCAGCAAUGCCGCGUGAGUGAAGAAGGCCUUCGGGUUGUAAAGCUCUUUUGUCAGGGAAGAAACGGCAGUUUCUAAUACAGAUUGCUAAUGACGGUACCUGAAGAAUAAGCACCGGCUAACUACGUGCCAGCAGCCGCGGUAAUACGUAGGGUGCAAGCGUUAAUCGGAAUUACUGGGCGUAAAGCGUGCGCAGGCGGUUUUGUAAGUUUGUCGUGAAAUCCCCGGGCUCAACCUGGGAAUGGCGAUGAAGACUGCAAGGCUAGAAUCUGGCAGAGGGGGGUAGAAUUCCACGUGUAGCAGUGAAAUGCGUAGAGAUGUGGAGGAACACCGAUGGCGAAGGCAGCCCCCUGGGUCAAGAUUGACGCUCAUGCACGAAAGCGUGGGGAGCAAACAGGAUUAGAUACCCUGGUAGUCCACGCCCUAAACGAUGUCUACUAGUUGUCGGGUUUUAAUUAACUUGGUAACGCAGCUAACGCGUGAAGUAGACCGCCUGGGGAGUACGGUCGCAAGAUUAAAACUCAAAUGAAAUUGACCGGNGUGAGAGAGCGACGACGACGACGAGGGAGGAGG